Glycine soja is the source of this 479-nucleotide long non-coding RNA. RefSeq lists it as uncharacterized. NCBI's taxonomy places the organism in Eukaryota, Viridiplantae, Streptophyta, Magnoliopsida, Fabales, Fabaceae. The transcript is spliced from 3 exons. The record is from RefSeq and is a predicted model, not a curated record.
AGAGCAAAAGCCAGUUGCUAAAACCGUAAAACGUUGGUUCUCCAAUCCCAUGCCCUUUUAGAAUUCAUCAUCCAUGCUCUGAUCAAAUCAUCAAAAAGUGGAUCUUCUUUUUUCUCUUUAGUCCUUUUCCACAUUAACCCUAAAAUAAGGAAACUUGCAGCUAUACCAAUAGUUCAAUACCAACUUCUAGCCCCAUCCACAAACCUUUGUUGCCCUCUUGUUUAGGGCUAAUAUUAGCAUUGGGAAUUGGUGAAGGACUAGGAUUUGGGAUUGAAUUAUCACAAUCAACAAACUAGUGGAAUGCUGUAACAAGAGUCUGUGCAACCAAUUUAGUGCCCUCGUGCCUUUGGAGCCUCAAACGAAUUCCUGUAUCUGAUUUGACACAGCCUCAUUACUUUGUAAAACUUCAAUGGAAUAAUGACCAUGACGGCAGACAGUGUGUUCAUCUUAAACACUAAAACAUGUGGCAAGGUAAGAGG